GUCUGGUCUAAUAGUAUUAGAUUAUAAGAACUUAUUAACAUUGGUGUCACUAAAGUUGGUAUACAAUUGCCCUACUGCUAAAUUUGACUAGCUUA
Molecule: non-coding RNA, 95 nt
Filed under: Microcebus murinus (gray mouse lemur)
Lineage: Eukaryota; Metazoa; Chordata; Mammalia; Primates; Cheirogaleidae
Source: RNAcentral